This 77-nucleotide transfer RNA is filed under the name Candidatus Liberibacter americanus str. Sao Paulo. RNAcentral describes it as "tRNA-Arg (TCT) (tRNA-Arg-TCT-1-1)". It matches the Rfam family "tRNA". Rfam says of the family: Transfer RNA (tRNA) molecules are approximately 80 nucleotides in length. Their secondary structure includes four short double-helical elements and three loops (D, anti-codon, and T loops). The record is from RNAcentral. Lineage: Bacteria; Pseudomonadati; Pseudomonadota; Alphaproteobacteria; Hyphomicrobiales; Rhizobiaceae. RNAcentral also lists the same sequence under 1 other name.
GGCCCCUUAGCUCAGCUGGAUAGAGCGUCUGCCUUCUAAGCAGGAUGUCGCAGGUUCGAAUCCUGCAGGGGUCACCA